GGUAUGUUAGUUAAAAAAAAACGUUAAAUUGUAAAUUUAAAAUUAACUUAGUUACAUGCUA
RNAcentral lists this transfer RNA (61 nucleotides) under Hirudo nipponia. Its description in RNAcentral is "tRNA-Tyr". The record is from RNAcentral. Lineage: Eukaryota; Metazoa; Annelida; Clitellata; Hirudinida; Hirudinidae.